Molecule: long non-coding RNA, 867 nt
Filed under: Cottoperca gobio
Lineage: Eukaryota; Metazoa; Chordata; Actinopteri; Perciformes; Bovichtidae
Description: lncRNA (ENSCGOG00000009861.1)
Source: RNAcentral
CGGAGUGACGCGCCUUGUCGCCGCUCCUCCCCGAGCAGAGAAAGUUCCCCUUUUUGACUUUUAAUUCCCCUGAAGUAGCGGUAGUUUGACGCAGAGUCUUUUCAAACGAGACAGAAAGUUUUUACAUGAAAACACUCUGGUGACUUUUCUACAACUGGUAGAAAAGUCACGGCCAAGAAGCGUGCGGCAUCAUGAAGCUACUGCUGCGCUCCUGCAGCGUCUCUCUAUGGACUCUUCUUUUCUUCAGCGCUCUCCUCAAGUUGAUCACAGAUCAUCCAGGAUUUAAUUUCACCUCCCUCCGGCAGGCGGACACAGACAGGCCACAAGAGGCCUAAGCGACACGGCUGCUACUGCGCCCCUGGGAAACUCUUAUGGCUCUUAGGGCCAGAGGUCGACGGGGGCUUUGUAAGGAUCAGCGGGAACCCUGAUACAACCCCUCACAUUUUAAAAGUCUUCUUAAUGAACACAUACGUAAAGUGCACAGCACGUCAACACAGGUGUUUUCACUCAGUUGUAAUUCGGUAGAGCUAUGAUGUAUUAACACCGGUCACAUGACUCCAUUAACCAAUAGGAUCUCUGAAGAGAUGUAAUUAGGCAUACUAAUUGAAAACACCUGUGCAGAUGGGCAAAGGGUGUGUCGGGCCUUUAAGAAAAAAACCAUCCCCCACUUUUUGACAGUGUACUUUAACAAAUAUAAUAUGGGUUAAAGAUUUACAUAAAGGAUAAUAAUUUUGCGUGCAUGGCACAAUUAUUCAAAUUAUAUUAUAUUAUAUUAUACUUGAUUUACUGGUUGGACUGGUUAUCUGUUUAAUCACAUAUUUAUUAUUUCAUAUUCGAUGUGUCUAUUCCCCUGCUCAACCUAAUGUC